AUGCCAGACUCCUACGGGAGGCAGCAGUGGGGAAUAUUGCACAAUGGGGGGAACCCUGAUGCAGCAAUGCCGCGUGAAGGAUGAAGGUUUUCGGAUUGUAAACUUCUUUUGUACGGGACGAAGAAAGUGACGGUACCGUAAGAAUAAGCCACGGCUAACUACGUGCCAGCAGCCGCGGUAAUACGGAGGAUGCGAGCGUUAUCCGGAUUUAUUGGGUUUAAAGGGUGCGUAGGCGGGCUGUUAAGUCAGCGGUCAAAUGUCGGGGCUCAACCCCGGCCUGCCGUUGAAACUGGCAGUCUCGAGUUGGAGAGAAGUAUGCGGAAUGCGCGGUGUAGCGGUGAAAUGCAUAGAUAUCGCGCAGAACUCCGAUUGCGAAGGCAGCAUGCCGGCUCCACACUGACGCUGAGGCACGAAAGCGUGGGUAUCGAACAGGAUUAGAUACCCUCGUAU
Molecule: ribosomal RNA, 450 nt
Filed under: uncultured bacterium
Lineage: Bacteria
Description: bacterial SSU rRNA
Rfam family: Bacterial small subunit ribosomal RNA
Source: RNAcentral